GAUGAACGCUGGCGGCGUGCCUAAUACAUGCAAGUCGAGCGAACAGACGAGGAGCUUGCUCCUCUGACGUUAGCGGCGGACGGGUGAGUAACACGUGGAUAACCUACCUAUAAGACUGGGAUAACUUCGGGAAACCGGAGCUAAUACCGGAUAAUAUAUUGAACCGCAUGGUUCAAUAGUGAAAGACGGUUUUGCUGUCACUUAUAGAUGGAUCCGCGCCGCAUUAGCUAGUUGGUAAGGUAACGGCUUACCAAGGCAACGAUGCGUAGCCGACCUGAGAGGGUGAUCGGCCACACUGGAACUGAGACACGGUCCAGACUCCUACGGGAGGCAGCAGUAGGGAAUCUUCCGCAAUGGGCGAAAGCCUGACGGAGCAACGCCGCGUGAGUGAUGAAGGUCUUCGGAUCGUAAAACUCUGCUAUUAGGGAAGAACAAAUGUGUAAGUAACUAUGCACGUCUUGACGGUACCUAAUCAGAAAGCCACGGCUAACUACGU
Molecule: ribosomal RNA, 496 nt
Filed under: uncultured bacterium
Lineage: Bacteria
Description: partial 16S ribosomal RNA
Rfam family: Bacterial small subunit ribosomal RNA
Source: RNAcentral